RNAcentral lists this long non-coding RNA (2472 nucleotides) under Sus scrofa (pig). RNAcentral's name for it is "lncRNA (ENSSSCG00030036696.1)". The record is from RNAcentral. Lineage: Eukaryota; Metazoa; Chordata; Mammalia; Artiodactyla; Suidae.
CAGCAUCACAGCCACGGCGGCCAGUAUCGGGGCAGCUGGGAUCCCUCAGGCGGGCCUGGUCACUAUGGUCAUCGUGCUGACAUCCGUGGGCCUGCCCACUGACGACAUCACGCUCAUCAUCGCGGUGGACUGGUUCCUGGAUCGGCUUCGCACCACAACCAAUGUCUUGGGAGACUCCCUGGGAGCCGGCAUUGUUGAACACUUGUCCCGACAUGAACUGAAGAACCGGGAUGUCGAAAUGGGCAACUCAGUGAUCGAAGAGAAUGAAAUGAAGAAACCAUAUCAGCUGAUUGCCCAGGAAAGCGAAAUCGAGAAACCCAUCGACAGUGAAACCAAGAUGUAGACGGACAUAAAAUGUUUCCUUGAGCACCCGGUGUUUGAAAACCGCUAUGACAUGUCUCCAUCUCGUUACAACUCAUUCUCUCCAGUAAGCCCCCUACCUCCCUUUUCCUCUCUACCCUGAUAGGAUUGGGAAGAAUUCAUCCCAAAACAAGGGAGGAUUUUGCAGUGGCCCAAAUGUGUAGUUCUCAUCCCACGUUUGAAAUGUUUCCAUCAUGUCAUGCUAGUCUUAUCUAUUAAGGUCCUGCGAUCAGAAAUGGUCUUGGAUCUUAAAAGUUGAUGUGGCACACAAUCCUGUAAAUGUGAUCAUUCUUAUAAAUUAAAGCGUCAAAACAAAUAGUAAGCUGAAGACAUAGUUUUAAAUCAACCUUCAAAAUUUACAAAUCCUUCAGGAUACAAUUCAGUUUUAGUAUCAGAACACAGCAACCUGAUAAGCAGUGGGUUCUCAGUUGGACAUUGGAAGAGGUUUUUUUUUUUCCUCCCAUUCUCUUGAGAUUUGUGUCUUUAUUUUACCAGUAGCAGGACAAUAGAAAUACACAACUAGCACAGCCGUGAGGAGGCAUGUAAAGUGAAAUUUCCCUGUGGCUGUGGGCAAGUCUCGUCUCUAGGUCUCAGUGUUUUCAUCUGCAAAAGGAACGAGUUGUCUAGAUGUCCUUAUGGUUGAUUCUAGCCCAGAGGUACUGAGGCGCCAUGGAAGAGCCUGCCCUCUACUCCCCCUUGGGACAUCCCAUGGCAAGUAUCAUUCCACAGAGCAUGGGACUUUCAGCAGAGAGUUGUUGGGAGUGACCAUUUCUAGGGAGGGGCAGGGUGGCUGUGCAGUUUACCAGGUUCCAUGUCCAGAAUGGCAGAGUCAGCAGGCUGGAGGCCAUUCCAGGAGUGGAUGUGCUCCCCCAAACUCUGCCUUGAUCUUCCCAACAGGGGAUCCAUUCCCUUCACUCUUCCCAAACUAAAGGGAACCACGCUAGGAAGAGUGUCUCCCACCACUCCUCAACUGAUGAUAGACCUUUAGAAAAUACCACGCAAGACUAGCAACUAGCAAGCAUGCUCAUGGUCUUACUAUGGAACAGUAAAGAGCCAGCCAGGAAAGAGUGGAGCAUGGUUGACGUGAUAAAGAGAGGAUUUUAGAAUACCAAGGUUAUACGUCAUCUUUAAGGAAGAGUUUUUUAGAAGGAGAGAUUCUUAAAAGAAAAAAAAAACAACAAACCUGAAACUUUUUCUCUUCAGUUCAAAAAUCAUUCCCUAAGGAAGUCUGCAAAUCAAAAUAUAAGGUCACAUGUAUUUUCAAAUCAAAUCAAUGAGCUCUCUCUACUAGAGGCCCAUGAGCUGCAUGGGUGGUCUCUUAUUUGAAAAAGUUUGUUUUUUUUUUUUUUUUUUUUUUUUUUACUAUAAUCAAAAGUUCUUAGAAUGAGAGAAACAGGAUAUUUCUUUGUGUUGGAAUUCCACUCACCAAAUCUUUCGAAACCUUCAGCUGGAAUGGGAAUUAUUUUGGUUUUGUUUGUGUCCCUGGGAGAAAUGGUAGAAGAAGCAUCAGUAUGAAGCCACAUCAGUGGGGUUCCAAGAGGGGAGAAAAAAAGAGGCCUUAGUUUCAGGUGAGGCAGCUACCAGGUUUAAAGGAGAUUAAUAUUUGUACUCUAAGGAAUAUCCAGUCAAAGAUGCAGAGCGGGAGCUGUCAGACAAUACCAGCUGUGUUUGAAUUACUCAUGUAAAUGGUGAAGAAUGGACUUAAUUAUGCUAACAGACUGAAAAUCUAGACCGCCAUCCUCUGAUAUACAAUUAGAGAUGUUUUUAUAUAGAUCGCCAGCAUUAUGUGUGUACAAAAGUUAACGUUAGGCUGUGGUGGAGUAACCAUUUAAUGUCAAGGCUCUAUUUGGGAAAUACACUACAGAAGUUAAUGUACAAGGCUGUGAUCUUAUGACACCAGUAGAGCAAAACGUAAUCGUGUCAGAUUAAUUCUGUUACACAGUGUGAUUUAUUUUUUUUUUUAUACUAACCAUUUCUUACGGAAAGCAGGUCCUUCGGGAUGACCCUCUCGCCAGCCCAUCACGGGCUCUGCAUAUUACAUGCAGCCGGUGUGGACUGAGAAGCAUUACUUUGUAGAUGUGUUUUCAAUAAAGAAACCAAAUUAGUUUUACA